Molecule: long non-coding RNA, 428 nt
Organism: Neofelis nebulosa (Clouded leopard)
Lineage: Eukaryota; Metazoa; Chordata; Mammalia; Carnivora; Felidae
Exons: 3
Source: RefSeq, a predicted model, not a curated record
UUAUAUUUCAGCUCCACAAUCAACAAAUAGCUCUGAAAACCAAAUAGGCCACGCUGUUGGAAGUCAGAGCAAACGAGGUCAAAUAGAAGCCUCAACUGGCUGGAUAUAAAGUCUUCUCAACUCCUUUGUGGAAAUUUCCAGGCUUCACAUUCAUUCAUCAGGAUAUCCUCUUUGCACACAAUUACCAUUAAAAUCUUUGGGCUGCUGCAGACUCCACCUGAAGAUGACACAGCUGUACCAGAUAUGUUUAAAGGACCAACAGAGUGAGCACACAGCCACUAGAAUCACCUUUCGUUCCAUGAAGUCUCAGGAUGUGCCUCCUUCCAAAACAUGAGCUGGACACAGUGGACAUGGAUAAUUACUCCUGUGAUACCAGCAGACAUGUGGUCUUGUGGCAACACUUGAGCUCACUGAGCCCAGAUCAAAGU